Molecule: non-coding RNA, 1777 nt
Organism: Pocillopora verrucosa
Lineage: Eukaryota; Metazoa; Cnidaria; Anthozoa; Scleractinia; Pocilloporidae
Source: RefSeq, a predicted model, not a curated record
UCCUCUUUGAAUGUACGGUGUUCUUUCGCCAUGUUAGUCUUUUCAUUCACGUUUCACAAAGGUUUCAGUGAACUCGGCGAAGGGAGAAAAGUCAUGUAGCAAUAAAUCAGCGCAUGACUCUCGUUUGAAUAUGCGCGCAGUACAAUUUCUUAUCCAGUCCUUCUCUGGCGGGUAAUCCAUAAUGGCGGACGACGUGAGAGUGUUUUUAUUAAUUCUCUAGGGAUAAACCAAAACGGUUGUUUGUUAUUUAAAAAAAACGUUUAGAUUCAGUUUCUCAAUUAAAGCUCUUUGUUCAUUGCUCCAUAAUGGCAGAGAAGAAUUCGAAAGGGAAGAAGCGAAAAUGGGAACCAGUAGAAUUGGACGAUCCUUCGUUCUUUGCGGGCGAAAUGGAUGGAUUUAUGUCCCUUGAAGUCAUGGAAGAUUAUCAUCCAGAAGAGCUAGCAGGAAUUGGUGCAGGUGGACCAGCUCAGAAGAAGAAAAUAAAAGAAUGGCCGCUGUAGGAGUGUCGCUGAUGGACAAAGUUGGGCUGCAGAAGAACAGUUGUAAAAUUAUCGAUGUCACCAACAAGAGAGGAACCGUAGAAACCCUGACAGAAGCAAAGAUCUCAUGUGCAAUUGAAGAGAUUUAAGCAAAGUGCGAGUGGCUUACUUCUGGCUACAGAUGUGGCCACGAGAGGUUUGGACAUACCAGCUGUCACUAUCAAGUUCCGAAGGACCUUGAUCUUUACAUUCACCGUAGUGGAAGGACAGCUAGAGCAAGCAGGGAAGGUCUGAGUGUCGUUCUUGUUGGCCCAGAAGAAAUGGGAUCAUACAAGAAAAUUAUGAAGACGCUUAAUGGAGAUUAAGGCGCAAAAAGUCAAGUAAUGACUGGAUACUUGCCUCUGCCAAAGCCAUGGACAUUGAAGUUGACGAAGAUUUACUGGAAGAUCUCGGAGAUCAGGGAGAAAGGAAAGAGCGACAAGUAAAGCUGAAGCAAUUGAAAGCGGAACUUACUGGUUUGCUGAAGACACCUCUGAUUCCUGCUGGUUUUAGUGGAAAGUACCCGACUAAAACUGGAUCCCUUAUAAUGCCAGGGAUCAAAGCCGAAACGAAUUUGGAAGAUAAUGAAAAAGUGGCUGUUGAAGAUGUAAGAAGAAAGAAAAGAAACAAGAAAAGCAAAACGUAACUUGCAUUCUUCAAACGAGGUCGACAACUGAUCGUGAAAGAAGAAGGGAGAUUAAAAACACGAAAUGGAGAAAGAUUCUUACUUGUAACAACUGGACUGGAAGAGAAAGAGUUGAUUUGAGCAAGGUUGACUAGUCAGUGGUAGAAUAAACUAAAAUCUCGUCUUAAAGUCUUUGACCCCGAUGCUAUAUGGAUACAAUGUAACUUGAAGCAAUGGCGUUCAUAUAUCUUCGGGACACCACCCUUCAGACUCGCGGUAUAAUACGACUGGACAAAGCAACUAGUCACAGUCUGACAACACAUGUCCACUUUGCGCAUUUUCUUGAUUUGUGAUUUGAAUUGAUUUACAGAUGUUUUGUUCUUUACUCAGUGGCCCGAAUUUAAAAGUUAGGAUUGUUUCAGUCACAUAUUGCCGUUGGUCAUAUGAAGAUUUCAAGAAUGGGUCGGAAAGGAACUGAAAACGCUGUUUUAAAGGGAAAUUAUUUUUCACAUGCUUGACAAAUGUUGUCCACAAACCUUUCGCUAGUUCAUAUAUAUAAAAAAAUUUUAAAAAAAUAUGUAGAUGUGUAGUAAGCAGGAGAUUCAGUAAAAGCCGGUCUACCGCCGUUUGUUGA